Molecule: ribosomal RNA, 253 nt
Filed under: uncultured bacterium
Lineage: Bacteria
Description: partial 16S ribosomal RNA
Rfam family: Bacterial small subunit ribosomal RNA
Source: RNAcentral
UACGUAGGGUGCAAGCGUUAAUCGGAAUUACUGGGCGUAAAGCGUGCGCAGGCGGUCUGUUAAGUCAGCUGUGAAAUCCCCGGGCUCAACCUGGGAAUGGCAGUUGAGACUGGCAGGCUGGAGUGUGUCAGAGGGGGGUAGAAUUCCCCGUGUAGCAGUGAAAUGCGUAGAGAUGUGGAGGAAUACCGAUGGCGAAGGCAGCCCCCUGGGAUAACACUGACGCUCAUGCACGAAAGCGUGGGGAGCAAACAGG